Long non-coding RNA from Orbicella faveolata, 443 nucleotides. The record is from RefSeq and is a predicted model, not a curated record. Lineage: Eukaryota; Metazoa; Cnidaria; Anthozoa; Scleractinia; Merulinidae.
UGGUUCGUUUGAUUUGUGAAGAAACACAUUCAAGAAAUUGUGACUUCGUUCAAGAGGUCCAUUGUUCAUGCCAGUAACUGCAUUUGUUUACUAUAAGCUCCAGAGGUGAAACAUGAACAUAUAUUGAAUACAAAUGCCUGUUUUCUCUGUAGAAAAUGUAAAACUCACCCAGGUCCAGUUGUACAUAUAAGUGGUAACCCUGUGGACCCUAAUAAGUUGCUUUUAGGUUUUGAAACUGGAACAGUUGUUGUUUGGUCUCUCAGAGGGAAAACAGCAGAACACAGAUGUAUUUGUCCUCAGUCUGUGAUCUCUGCAUAUUGGUUGAAUGAUGGAAAACAGUUCAUAUGCUCUCACACCAAUGGUACUUUGACAGUAUGGAAUCUUAAAAACAGUGACAAACCAGUGGACACAUUAGUUCCCCACAGUAAAUCUGACAAAGGAAG